RNAcentral lists this ribosomal RNA (301 nucleotides) under uncultured bacterium. Its description in RNAcentral is "partial 16S ribosomal RNA". It matches the Rfam family "Bacterial small subunit ribosomal RNA", at positions 509 to 807 of the family's 1533-position model. The record is from RNAcentral.
CAGCAGCCGCGGGAAUACGUAGGGUGCGAGCGUUAAUCGGAAUUACUGGGCGUAAAGCGUGCGCAGGCGGUAAUGUAAGACAGAUGUGAAAUCCCAGGGCUCAACCUUGGAACUGCAUUUUUAACUACCGGACUAGAGCAUGUCAGAGGGAGGUGGAAUUCCACGUGUAGCAGUGAAAUGCGUAGAUAUGUGGAGGAACACCGAUGGCGAAGGCAGCCUCCUGGGAUAAUACUGACGCUCAUGCACGAAAGCGUGGGGAGCAAACAGGAUUAGAGACCCGUGUAGUCCCUGUCUCUUAUAC